RNAcentral lists this transfer RNA (72 nucleotides) under Batrachochytrium salamandrivorans. RNAcentral describes it as "tRNA-Pro". It matches the Rfam family "tRNA". Rfam says of the family: Transfer RNA (tRNA) molecules are approximately 80 nucleotides in length. Their secondary structure includes four short double-helical elements and three loops (D, anti-codon, and T loops). The record is from RNAcentral. Lineage: Eukaryota; Fungi; Chytridiomycota; Chytridiomycetes; Rhizophydiales.
AUGGAUGUAGUUCAAUGGUGGAACACUGGUUUUGGGAACCAGAGGUUGUUGGUUCGAGUCCGAUCAUCCUGA